RNAcentral lists this small nuclear RNA (282 nucleotides) under Prolemur simus (greater bamboo lemur). Its description in RNAcentral is "7SK RNA (ENSPSMG00000000780.1)". It matches the Rfam family "7SK RNA". Rfam says of the family: 7SK was discovered as an abundant small nuclear RNA in the mid-70s but a possible function has only recently been suggested. The record is from Rfam by way of RNAcentral. Lineage: Eukaryota; Metazoa; Chordata; Mammalia; Primates; Lemuridae.
UGAUGUGAGGGCAAUCUGGCUGUAACAUGAUCACCAGGGUUGAUUCAUCUGAUCUGGCUGGCUAGGCAGCUGUCCCCUUCCUCCCUCACCGCUCCAUGUGCAUCCCUCCCGAAGCUGCACACUCGGUCAAAGAGGAUGACAUUCCCCGAUAGAGGAGGACCAUCAUUGGUCAAGGGUAUCUGAGUAGCUGUGCUCUGCUGCUAGAACCUCCAAACAAGCUCUUAAGUUCCAAACAAGCAUGAUGGCUCAUACCUGUAAUCCCAGCUCUUUGGCAGGCCAAAG